AGACUCUGUGAAUGAAGACCCAUGCAGCAAAGAACUAGAGGCAUCUGAAGACCUUCCUUAGGGAGCCAAGUCCCUUAUGUUCUUGUUUUAGGAUGUAUAUAGACUCCACUUUGAUGGAAGAAAUGCUAUGUGCAAGAUGAAAUGCCAUUUCUGAAAUACAAUCAUUUUAUUCACUGGCCAGAAGACAAAGUUCCAAUUUGAAGUUUAAAGAAAAAUGCUCAAAGAACAAAGCAGGCACAUACAGGGAUAAAUUGAGCCUGAUUAUACCCUCCAAAGUGAAAGGGGAAAAAAAUUCCAAAUUCUGCACAAAGAAAGUAUGUGGUCAGAUUUGGUGGCAGUGUUGGGACCCAAAGUGAACUUCUGCUGGCUUUUGAGGACAAUGAGAAACACAGGUGUUUUACCAGUGAAUCCCUUUUUGAGUUCACUCUCUUUCUUGCUGUUUCUGAGGGCUGUGGGUAAGUUCCUCUGGGUUCUGAGUUCCAUUCUCUUUACAUCAAGCUCCCAGUCUGUCUUUCCAGCACAAGACAGGUGAACUAGAGUUGGCAGACCAUUCUGCCUGGUACCCAACUGAGCUAAGCGCCUGGCCUUUCACACUGUGAUUCCCAGGUUUUUGUGUGAAAACUAUCAGCCCUUAAUUCUGUCAGAAGAGCCACGUGGGAACUAUUCAGGUCAUUCAUGUGGAGCCCCAGUCCGAGUCUACUUGCUGAGGUCUGCUGGUUCAGUCCUCCUCCCAGUCCAAGGUUCCGUGGGCAUUGUCAGUGGUGCACACAGUCUUUUCUUGGCCAGGGCUCGGUAAUAUCUUUUGGCUACAGCUAGUAUGUGAAGGUGUAUAUGUUUUUCAUGUUCUGUGUAGAUAAAAACUACUGCUAAUGGGGAUCUCAGAGACCAAAAAGUCACAAAAACUAGUGGCUAUGGAUUGAGCACUUAAAGGUCGUUAGAGCACUUGCCAUCAAAUAUUCUUUUGUUAGGAUAAGUUGGUCACAGAAUGCAUUAGAUUGACUCUAUGUCACUCACCCACCUCAAGAAAUUUUUCUAAAUUAUAAGAGUCAAACAUGCCACUUUCUGGCAUGUCUGCUUAAAAACUAUGGUCCCAGAAGCUAUAAAUAUCAACAAAAACAGCAAAAUCUUACUAGCUUGUUUUGUGUUCUGAGAGCUUGGCUCAGGGUAACCAUCAGAUUGAGGUCCUCAAAAAUAUGAUCAAUGAUAUGGGUUAUACUCCACUUAUAGCUACUUACAGAUUCAGCAGAACCAAAUGUGGGUUGAACUCCAUUUGUAGCUGAAGGUCCUACCAAAUUGCUGCCAGUUCUCAGGGGAAUUACAGCCUAGAGUUACAAUGGCCAUCCGGAGGAACAUUCCAUUUGGAUAAGGUUACUUAUGAAGUUCACAUAAAGCAAGGGCUGCCUAUUUUUACACAUAAGCCUCCAAAGAACUUCAAAAUUUCAUUGAAAAAUUUAUUACAAAAAGCUAAUAAUGUUUAUAAAUAUGAAAGUUACCUAAAACAAAUGACUAUGGGACUGCAAUAAUUCCUACUUCUACCCUUGAAUACCCAUAUUAGAAAUCCUCUAUCUAAAAUGCCUUCCACCCUGAAGAGACAAAGUUACCUUUCAAAAUAAGAAUGGGGCUUGGCUUUCUGCCUGCCUGGAGCAUACAGGCUGUCAGCUCUUUGUUUUGUCCAUCUUUGGAAAUGACUCUGAUCUCAGGAGGCUAGUAACCUUUGCACCGUCCUUCAGGUGCACCAUCCUUCAGGUUACCUCCUGGGUCCAUGGAGUUAUUUAAUACUGCCAGACAUAUUUAUUUGUUUGCCUCUGUUGAAAAUUGGCGAGCUAGUUCAAAGAAUUUUUAAGUUAGCUCUAUGGUCAGAAAUUGGCCAUCUAUUGGAAGCUGAUUUUAAGAGCCUGGUAGGAAUAUUUUAGGCCUUCUUUCUGAAGUUAAAAUAAAACUAUGUACCACUCCGUUGUAAUCAUAAAAAUUUUCAAAAAUAUGCUAAAGACUAACCCAUUUGUGUUUCAGGUUCACAUGAUCUGGGAAAAUAUUUAGUAUUAAAACUAAUUUACAGUUACUGAUUUGAUUAAAACUGAUGUAUCUUAGUGUUGUCAACAUGGACAGUAAUGCAAACACAACUUACCUGGGUUGAUUAGUAAAAUAAGUUCAUGUUAUAUUUGUUAAAAAUUUGUCAGCCAAAAAAAAAAAAAAAAAAAAAAA
Molecule: long non-coding RNA, 2202 nt
Filed under: Sus scrofa (pig)
Lineage: Eukaryota; Metazoa; Chordata; Mammalia; Artiodactyla; Suidae
Description: lncRNA (ENSSSCG00065006443.1)
Source: RNAcentral